This 929-nucleotide ribosomal RNA is filed under the name uncultured Aquificia bacterium. RNAcentral's name for it is "bacterial SSU rRNA". It matches the Rfam family "Bacterial small subunit ribosomal RNA", at positions 1 to 916 of the family's 1533-position model. The record is from RNAcentral. Lineage: Bacteria; Pseudomonadati; Aquificota; Aquificia.
UUAGAGUUUGAUCAUGGCUCAGCGCGAACGCUUGCGGCGCGCCUAACACAUGCAAGUCAGGGGGCCCGUCCCUUCGGGGACGGGUAACCGGCAAACGGGUGAGUAACGCGUGGGUAACCUACCCCGAGGAGGGGAAUAACCCCGGGAAACCGGGGCUAAUACCCCAUAAUGAGCCUUCCCACUAAGGGGAGGCUCCAAAGGGCCGCCUCUGCUUUGCAAGCGGCCGCCUCGGGAUGGGCCCGCGUCCCACCAGGUAGUUGGUGGGGUAACGGCCCACCAAGCCUAUGACGGGUAGCUGGCCUGAGAGGGUGGCCAGCCACAGCGGGACUGAGACACGGCCCGCACCCCUACGGGGGGCAGCAGUGGGGAAUCGUGGGCAAUGGCGAAAGCCUGACCCCGCGACGCCGCGUGGGGGAUGAAGCCCUUCGGGGUGUAAACCCCUGUCGGGCCGGACGAAGCGGCUAGGGGUUAAUAGCCCCUAGCCGUGACGGUACGGCCAGAGGAAGGGACGGCUAACUACGUGCCAGCAGCCGCGGUAAUACGUAGGUCCCGAGCGUUGCGCGGAGUUACUGGGCGUAAAGCGUCCGCAGCCGGCCCCGUAAGCGGGUUGUCAAAGCCCACGGCUCAACCGUGGAACGGCAUCCCGAACUGCGGGGCUUGAGGCUUGCUCGGGCAGGCGGAAUUCCCGGUGUAGCGGUGAAAUGCGUAGAUAUCGGGAGGAACACCGGUGGGGAAGCCGGCCUGCUGGGGCUUGCCUGACGGUCAGGGACGAAAGCCGGGGGAGCAAACCGGAUUAGAUACCCGGGUAGUCCCGGCCGUAAACCAUGGGCGCUAGGCGUUGUCCCUUCGGGGGCAGUGCCGUAGCUAACGCGUUAAGCGCCCCGCCUGGGGAGUACGGCCGCAAGGCUGAAACUCAAAUGAAUUGACGG